RNAcentral lists this ribosomal RNA (285 nucleotides) under uncultured bacterium. Its description in RNAcentral is "partial 16S ribosomal RNA". It matches the Rfam family "Bacterial small subunit ribosomal RNA", at positions 355 to 632 of the family's 1533-position model. The record is from RNAcentral.
UAGGGAAUCUUCCACAAUGGACGCAAGUCUGAUGGAGCAACGCCGCGUGAGUGAAGAAGGCUUUCGGGUCGUAAAACUCUGUUAUUGAAGAAGAACGUGUGUGACAGUAACUGGUCAUGCAGUGACGGUAUUCAAUCAGAAAGUCACGGCUAACUACGUGCCAGCAGCCGCGGUAAUACGUAGGUGGCAAGCGUUGUCCGGAUUUAUUGGGCGUAAAGCGAGUGCAGGCGGUCUUUUAAGUCUGAUGUGAAAGCCUUCGGCUUAACCGAAGAAGGGCAUCGGAAA